RNAcentral lists this ribosomal RNA (252 nucleotides) under uncultured bacterium. RNAcentral's name for it is "partial 16S ribosomal RNA". It matches the Rfam family "Bacterial small subunit ribosomal RNA", at positions 524 to 776 of the family's 1533-position model. The record is from RNAcentral.
UACGUAGGGAGCGAGCGUUAUCCGGAUUUAUUGGGUGUAAAGGGUGCGUAGGCGGCCUUAUAGGUCUAUGGUCUAAGUCCGAAGCUUAACUUCGGUUCGCCAUAGAAACCGUUAGGCUUGAGUAUAGUAGAGGCAAGUGGAAUUUCUAGUGUAGCGGUAAAAUGCGUAGAUAUUAGAAGGAACACCAGUGGCGAAGGCGACUUGCUGGGCUAUUACUGACGCUGAGGCACGAAAGCGUGGGGAGCAAAUAGG